This 375-nucleotide ribosomal RNA is filed under the name uncultured bacterium. RNAcentral describes it as "bacterial SSU rRNA". It matches the Rfam family "Bacterial small subunit ribosomal RNA", at positions 524 to 898 of the family's 1533-position model. The record is from RNAcentral.
UACGUAGGGGGCGAGCGUUAUCCGGAAUUAUUGGGCGUAAAGGGUGUGCAGGCGGUUUGCCAAGUUCGUGGCGACAGCCAUCGGCUUAACCGAUGGAGGACUGCGAAAACUGGCAGACUUGAGAGCGAGAGAGGGACAUGGAACUCCGGGUGGAGCAGUGAAAUGCGUAGAGAUCCGGAAGAACACCAACGGCGAAGGCAGUGUCCUGGCUCGUCUCUGACGCUCAAGCACGAAAGCUAGGGGAGCGAACAGGAUUAGAUACCCUGGUAGUCCUAGCUGUAAACGAUGACCACUAGACGCACGGAGAUCGACCCUUUGUGUGUCGCAGCUAACGCGAUAAGUGGUCCGCCUGGGGAGUACGACCGCAAGGUUAAA